AUCUGGGUUCGAGCUCAGUUGGUGGAGCAUGGGACUCUUUAUCUCAGGGUCGUGGGUUUGAGCCCCACCUUGGACA
RNAcentral lists this transfer RNA (76 nucleotides) under Podarcis lilfordi (Lilford's wall lizard). Its description in RNAcentral is "tRNA.Lys". It matches the Rfam family "tRNA". Rfam says of the family: Transfer RNA (tRNA) molecules are approximately 80 nucleotides in length. Their secondary structure includes four short double-helical elements and three loops (D, anti-codon, and T loops). The record is from RNAcentral. Lineage: Eukaryota; Metazoa; Chordata; Lepidosauria; Squamata; Lacertidae.